Molecule: unclassified non-coding RNA, 285 nt
Filed under: uncultured Leotiaceae
Lineage: Eukaryota; Fungi; Ascomycota; Leotiomycetes; Helotiales
Description: sequence contains ITS1
Rfam family: 5.8S ribosomal RNA (bases 1-105)
Source: RNAcentral
GAAACGCGAUAUGUAAUGUGAAUUGCAGACUUUAGUGAAUCAUCGAAUCUUUGAACGCACAUUGCGCCCCGUGGUAUUCCGCGGGGCAUACCUGUUCGAGCGUCAGUUCAACCCUCCAGCUCCGCUGGGUCUUGGGGCUUGCCGGCCUGGCAUCCCUUAAAUACAGAUGCGGUGUUACACAGCCUUAAGCGUAGUACUUUUCUCGCUCCAGGGUCUGUCGUGGCGCCUGCUACCCCCAUCUCAAUGGUUGACCUCGAAUCAGGUAGGGAUACCCGCUGAACUUAA